This is a small nucleolar RNA of Dioscorea cayenensis subsp. rotundata (Guinea yam), 107 nucleotides long. The record is from RefSeq and is a predicted model, not a curated record. Lineage: Eukaryota; Viridiplantae; Streptophyta; Magnoliopsida; Dioscoreales; Dioscoreaceae.
AAUCCAUGUUGAGGACAUUUACACAGGAUCUUCUUGAACCUAUCCCAUGUCGUAAAUAGAGACUCCAAUUCCAUUUGUACAAAAGAGGAUAUUUCAUUCCUAAGCUU